Molecule: long non-coding RNA, 575 nt
Filed under: Homo sapiens (human)
Lineage: Eukaryota; Metazoa; Chordata; Mammalia; Primates; Hominidae
Description: long non-coding RNA NONHSAT178558.1
Source: RNAcentral
AGUCCACAUCCAGCAAAACAUUUGAUUAACUGGAAAGCAAUACCAUUCUCAUGCCAGUGUACAAAUUACAUGAAAGAGCAUCAUUUUUCUAGUGUCUGAGGAUUGGCUGCUUAUGGCCAAUUUUGGCAGCAAGACGAUAGGAUUAAAAAUAGCUUGAAGAUGAUCUAGUCUUAAAUAAUAUAUUUCAUGAUGAACUUUCCUUGGGAAAGUGCAUCUUUCUGCCUACAAGAAUCACAUGACCCCUUUCAAUAAUUUAUGUAGUAGAGAAAAACACACUAUUUCUCAUAGAGUUUUCAGUCAUGUGCUGUGGUGUGAUUGUUUCUGGACAUUCAUAAAAUUUUAUAGUUAACUGAAUUCUCUUUUCUGUUUUGUUGCUAUUUAACGUCCAUUGAAAACAUGGCUUUCUUUUGCGCAUUCUGUUACUUUCAGCUGUACUUUCUAAUAAGAAUGGAUUGCCCUUUUUAGCAAUCUUUGAUUGAACUGGUACAUUUCAGAUUACUUAAAUGUCAUCAGGCCACACAGCAUACCAGGUAACAGAAAGCCAUAAAUUAAAAAUAAAAAAAAGGCAAGCAAAA